Molecule: ribosomal RNA, 301 nt
Filed under: uncultured bacterium
Lineage: Bacteria
Description: partial 16S ribosomal RNA
Rfam family: Bacterial small subunit ribosomal RNA
Source: RNAcentral
CAGUCGCCGCGGGAAUACGUAGGUCCCGAGCGUUGUCCGGAUUUAUUGGGCGUAAAGGGAGCGCAGGCGGUUUAGUAAGUCUGAAGUUAAAGGCAUUGGCUCAACCAAUGUAUGCUUUGGAAACUGCUAGACUUGAGUGCAGAAGGGGAGAGUGGAAUUCCAUGUGUAGCGGUGAAAUGCGUAGAGAUGUGGAGGAACACCAGUGGCGAAGGCGACUCUCUGGUCUGUAACUGACGCUGAGGAGCGAAAGCGUGGGGAGCGAACAGGAUUAGAUACCCGUGUAGUCCCUGUCUCUUAUACA